GGAGGGGGCAAGCGUUGUUCAGAAUUACUGGGCGUAAAGGGCGCGUAGGCGGCCUGCCAAGUCAGGGGUGAAAGGCCCGGGCUCAACCCGGGAACUGCCCUUGAAACUGGCAAGCUAGAGUCCGAGAGAGGAUGGCGGAAUUCCCAGUGUAGAGGUGAAAUUCGUAGAUAUUGGGAAGAACACCGGUGGCGAAGGCGGCCAUCUGGCUCGGCACUGACGCUGAGGCGCGAAAGCGUGGGGAGCAAACAGGAUUAGAUACCCUGGUAGUCCACGCCAUAAACGAUGUGUGCUAGACGUUGGGGGUCUUAGGCCUUGGUGUCGCAGCUAACGCGUUAAGCACACCGCCUGGGGGAGUACGGCCGCAAGGUUA
RNAcentral lists this ribosomal RNA (370 nucleotides) under uncultured organism. Its description in RNAcentral is "partial 16S ribosomal RNA". It matches the Rfam family "Bacterial small subunit ribosomal RNA", at positions 527 to 896 of the family's 1533-position model. The record is from RNAcentral.